GCUGGUGUGGCUCAGUGGUAGAGCAGCGCACUCGUAAUGCGCAGGUCGUCGGUUCAAAUCCGACCACCAGCUCCA
This 75-nucleotide transfer RNA is filed under the name Desulfotomaculum sp. RNAcentral describes it as "tRNA-Thr". It matches the Rfam family "tRNA". From Rfam's summary of the family: Transfer RNA (tRNA) molecules are approximately 80 nucleotides in length. Their secondary structure includes four short double-helical elements and three loops (D, anti-codon, and T loops). Further hydrogen bonds mediate the characteristic L-shaped molecular structure. tRNAs have two regions of fundamental functional importance: the anti-codon, which is responsible for specific mRNA codon recognition, and the 3' end, to which the tRNAs corresponding amino acid is attached (by aminoacyl-tRNA synthetases). tRNAs cope with the degeneracy of the genetic code in two manners: having more than one tRNA (with a specific anti-codon) for a particular amino acid; and 'wobble' base-pairing, i.e. permitting non-standard base-pairing at the 3rd anti-codon position. The record is from RNAcentral. Lineage: Bacteria; Bacillati; Bacillota; Clostridia; Eubacteriales; Desulfotomaculaceae.